RNAcentral lists this long non-coding RNA (30336 nucleotides) under Cucumis sativus (cucumber). RNAcentral's name for it is "long non-coding RNA (CSAT_LNC001587)". The record is from RNAcentral. Lineage: Eukaryota; Viridiplantae; Streptophyta; Magnoliopsida; Cucurbitales; Cucurbitaceae.
UUGUGUGUAGGUGUGGUUAUAGGGGAAUAGCUUUUUCAUGUCAAUUUAUGUGGUGGGAAAUUUUGGAAAAAGGAUUACACAAUAACAAAAGAGUAUAUUUGUGUACCCUUCUUCACUAAAGUGCAAUGUCUAUAAUAUUCCUACUAUUCCACCACACAAUGAACUUACUUCAAUUUUAAGAAGAAAAAAAAAUUAUAUCAAUCCCUUUAAUUGGAUUUGGUUUAAUUCUUUUUUUCUUAAAACGUGGUGGGUACCCAUUUGAUUGGGAAAGGAAUUAGUUCAAUACAUAUGUAUUUAAAUUUAUUAAUAGAAGAUAAAAGAAAAGAUAAGUUUAGUAAUUAGAGUACUAUCUCCCCCACUUCAAAUAUCAAAUUUAAUACUUAGACGUAAUAUCUAUAGUUUUAAAAGUUGUAAUUCCAUCUCCAUAUAAUUAGGUUUAGCUUUUUAUUAAACUUCUUAAUCUUAUAAUUUUCAAUUUAGAAACCUGAUUAAAUCAUUCAAAAAACGAGAUUCUAAAACGAUUUAAAAUUGAAAGUAUUAGGGACUACUUUUACUACAUAUCCAAUAAUCAAUAAGGUAAUUACAACAUAAAAAAUAAAUUGCAAUGUUUAUUUUUGGUCAUACCAAAUUAAACUUAAACUUUAACCAUAUAAAUGUAAUUGAAGAUGUUUAGUUGUUACUUUGCAUAUAGUUCAAUUAACUUGAAAAUGAGAACUUCAUCCUUUAAUUUAUAAUUAAGAUAUCGGUUAUUUAAUCUUGUGCAUAAUUUAUAUAUUGAAGAAUUUUUUUUCUCAAUAUUAUGCCCUCUCACUUCAGGAAAAAAAAAGUUGAAAAAUUUUUGGAAGAGAUGAAAAGUUGCUAGAGACAAAUUAUUUGUUAAAAAAAUAUAAAAACACAUACACACUCACAGGAUUAAUUAGUAUCAAAUAAUAGUUACGUUAUUGACGUAUUUAUAUUUUAAUUAUAAAAAAAAGGAAAAAAAAGAAAAGAAAAUGGUUAAUCCUUUUUGAGUUUUGGGAGUAUUGGGUUCUUUGCAUUAUAUUUUUAUCUCAUAAUCCAUUAUUAAUUGAUUUGGACAUUAAGGACAAAAUUUAAGGUCACAAUAUAUAAAAACAACUUUUUGUAUUUGAAAAAUCAAUGUGAAGUAGAAAACUUGUUCAAAGUCAAAUUCAAAAGAAAAGGUUAUCUGAAAUUUAAGCAUGGUCUUAAAACUUUUGGUAUAAUAAUUGACAUAUAUAUCCAGCCUCCAAUAUUGCAUCAAAAACAUUAUGUCAAUACAAUUAUCAUCUAGCUAAGAUUACUUUUGCAAUAUUCAAUAAAUUAAUUAUUAAUAAAUUGUUGUUUUGUUUGAGAGAAAACCACUACAAGAAAUUGAGAAUCUCUAGAUGACUAACUCAAGCCGUUGGAAGUAGGGAAUAACUCUUGAAAACGUAUAAAGGUGUCAUGAGUUAUUUCCAAGACUUGUAAUUUGAAGGAAAAAUUGUCGACACCCUAUACGUACGCGUCAAGAGAUCAUAGAAUGAGCUCAGGAUAACCAUAUAAUUAGCCAAUCGAAAGUUAUAAAGAACUCUACACGCUUAUUAGGUAGUGUCAUGUGUUAUCUUUGAUUAUGAGUAGACUACUCCUUCCACUAUUCGUUGUUGCCUCCAAUAAUCUCCCUUUGUAUGAAAAUUCCUCCUUUGCUCUCUAGUUUGCUAAUUUUUCUACGUUUUGAAGUCUAAUUGGGAUAGAUUUUGGGGUUUAUUUCAAGUUUUGAUUGUGCUUGAAUUAGUUGUGGUUGGGAUAGAUUUUGGUUGUGAUAACUAUUGGGGUUGUGUAAUAUUAGGGUUCUUUUUUUUCUUAAUGUUAGGGAUUGGAGAGAUGAUGUUUUUUUUUUAUUAAUUCAAAAGCACAUCAUAGAGUUGUAGGCCAUUAUGUAUGUUGAUUUUAUGGAAUUAAUCUAUAUUUCAUUAAUUACUUAAUAGAGAUACAAGCCUAUAUAUAACCAUAGAGAAAUACACUUAAGGAAAUAAUAUCAAAUAAUAUCUCCAGAAUAAUAUCUCCUAAGAAUAAUAUCUCCUAAGAAUAAUAUCUCCUAAGAAUAAUCUAAUUAUAUUAAUAAUGUAAACCUUUUUUAAGUCUUCCUUGCAAAAUAUAUUCUAAUUUUGUAGGCAUCAUUUUGUGUUUCCAAUUAGUUAUAAUUUAAUAUAUAAUGUUUUGUUUGAUAAUAUUCUAUUGAAUUUUAGAUCACAAAACUUAAAAAAAAGAUCAAACGAUUCACAUGACAACUAACAAAAUGAGAACCAAAAUAAUAAUAGCAAAAAAAGAAAAAAAAAAUAGAAGAACUCACAACAACAUGGUUGGGAGUUUAGACUCUCCUGAUGGGCUCUGUGAUAGACCACAACUUUUGACAGUGUAGAUAAAGCCUUUCAGAAGUUAGAAUCAACUCCCGACGAGCUGUGUACGCCAUCAAGAGUUUGAGGAAUUCCCAACAUUAUUGCAUCGGGAAUGCCUCUCCUGACGUGGUUUUUUUGACCACGUUCCUGAUGUUUUUUGUACAUUUUUAGUGACUUUAGCAGUUAGAAGAGGAUUUUUUAUUUUUUUUAGUAGUUAACUUAUAGGUUUGUUGGUCAAAUGAUUAAACAAUUUUAGAAGGAAACACAAUACUAUAUACCAGUGGCGGAUCUAGAAAUUUUAUAUAGGAGGCAUCAGACACUAUAUAAUAAACACACUAGAAAUGUUAAAAAAAAUAUCCAGACGUUUCACUGAUGUUCAAAUAACAUUCACUACAUUUGUAGUAAUAAAGAAAGACAAUUGUCAUAUGCGUUUUUGUAAGGUAAAUGUAUUAAUUUAAAAUUUGCAUUAAAAAAAAAGAAAAAAAAAAAGAAAAUUUCAUGGAAUAUUGUUGAGAGAGUGAAAGAUGGAUCACGGAUUUUGUUGCAUUUUUUUUCUAAAUAUUUGUUACAUAAGAAAUGAUGCUAGAAAAUUAUCUUUCUUUUAGGAAAUCUCAUUGAAAUUUAGAAAGAAAACACAAAUUAUUGAUGUUUGGAAUAAAAAUUAUUUCGUAACUCUUAACCCGGUGGUUUUGCAACGAAGGCACAGCCACUACACCAAAACGAGAAUUCAGUUAAAUUAACGCAUUAUUUAAUAUAUAUAUUGUAAUUUAACACUUCAAAAUUAAUAUUAAAAUACUAAACUCGACCAUGUGAGAGGGGCGUGUCCCUGACUUCUUAAUAAAUUCACCCUGCUAUAUACAUAUGUCGUUAAAAAAUGAAUUGUUUGAAAAUCGUUCACUAGUGUGAAUUUUAUACGUUGAUUCAAAUUCAAUCUUGUGUCCGAUUUCAUUUGUGUUAAAAACAGUAAAUUUAGAAAGAUCUUUUAAUUGAUGGAUCGUUUUUAAAAAUUGUAAAUAAAUACACAGGUAAAUAUUAGAUUAAAGCACUAAUUUGGGUCAUUUACAUUUAAAAAAUUUGUUGAAUCGUAGUAAUUGUACUUUCAAUAAAUUUAAAAUUUAAAAAUAAUUUAAUAAAUAUUUUUUCGAGAAAAAAAAAUUGUAUAAAGUAAAAGCUUUCAAAUAUUUAGGUGAGAUGCAAAAAACAAAUAAAUGCAAUACAAGGACUCAUGACCAAAUUUAGAAAUUAAACGUAGAUUUCUGCCCCUUUUAUUUGCUAUUUUUUCUUUAUUGACGUUUCUAGCUUCCAAACAUAUAUAAACUCUGCUUCAAAUGUCAAAAUGGCAUAAAAAAAAGAAAGCAUUAAUAAUGUAUCUAGAUGAUUCAUCAAAGAAAAAUAAAAGUUUGAGCAUUAUUGAUAGAGUAAAUGUACCAUUAGGCAAUAAGUUGAUUGAAUAUUUUGGAAUAAUAAUCUUAUAUUGGAGCAUUUAGAUUUGGCCUAGAGAAAAGCAAACAUAUCCCUAGUUAUCAAACUUAGCUUAAAAUAUUUUAAAAUUAAACAUGAUUGAUCAUCCCAUUUUUGCCACUCAACAAUAUAUUUAAUUAAUUAAGAGCUGUCCCCCAUGUAAUUGACCAACUAAACCCAACUUUUGACCCUUAAUUUCCCACUAAUCAUUCAUUCGUUUAAUAACUCUUUCCAUCACAUUUUUAAGCAAAUUAUCAAUUAAUUCUAUUAGUCUUCCAUGACCAAUUUUUUAUUCGCAAAAUCUCAUCACACCAACACCAUCAUUUCUUUCUUUUUCUUCUUUUUUCUUCUUUUUAAUAUACAUAUAUAAAUUACUUCUUUUAUGGAGAUGGAACCUUCCACCGAUAAAUUCACUUUCACAAAAUAUUUGGAAAUAUAAAUUUUUGAAGGAGUAAAGGAUAAUGAUGGAUAGUACAUUUGUUGAUUAAAUAAUUAAGAAACUUGAGGAUUUGAUUUUAAUUAAUUGUUUUCCUCUAACAAUAUGAUGGAUGAUGCAAGUAUCCAGUACCACCUCUAAUGAUGGUUCAAACUUUUGGAGAAAAAGUAAGUUGUUCAAAACCAUUUGAUGAACGACUCCUACCCUCAUAUGUAUGGUUGGAUUAUUUGAUACUCAUUUUAGCAACUUAAUAGAUAGGUUUUAUUAUGAAGACCCUUUAAAAUCUUAACCAUCAAAAUGUGGAAGUUUUAUUACUCAAAUGUUGAUAUCAAUAAAUAUUUCAAAUGAAUGGAAAGAGAAGUAAAAAUAUAUUUAAGAUUUUGUUAGGAUAAAACUUUAAAAAAAUUCUUAUUUAUAUUAGUGACAUUUUGUUGCUUAUUUUUUUAUGCAUCAUAGAUAAUUUUCAUGAUAUAAUGAAAUUGUUGAUCCAUCACUUGAGUUGAUAUACACACAAAAACACAUAAUUAAUUUGAUGAUUUAAAUAAUGUUUUAUGCUAUCAGAUUCAAUGACUUCAGCAAAUACCAAUUACAUAAACAAUUGGAAUCAUAUUUGUAAAAAAUAUUUUUGGAUUUUGUGAUCAAUAAUUUAAAUUAGAAAAAUAAAAGCAUAUCCAUAAAUGAGUCGAGAAAUAUGGUUAAUCUAAUAUUUAGAGUGUAACUACUACCACUAGUUUUGCUUGUUUUUAAAAUUAGAUACCAAACAUAUCGUAGGGACUAUUUAUCUUUAAAAUAUUAUAAGCGAGAUGAGUUUAGCCAAAUCUCUACACAUAUACCUCUUUUAAUUUUAUAUUACAUUUUACUUCCUUAACUUCAUACUUCAAAUUUUUUAUUGUUAUGGAUUCAAUCACUAACUAGUAUUGUUUUAUAUACGUGAUGGUCGUUGUGAUGAGUGAGAGUAUUAGUAUAAUUAUACUCACACAUCUUUAAAAUGUGACAACCACUAACUAGUAUACUUUUUCUUCAAUUUCAAAAACUAAUUCAAAAAGGUCUUUGAAUCUUUAGCAUGUAUGAUUUAAUUAUUAAUAUUUUCUUUAGUUCAUAAUGAUCCUUUAAUCACAUCUUCGUCAACAGCACCUUUGCUAGAGCUAGUUUUAGCAUUGUAUAGUAUAUAAUAGAGUUAAAACAUGAUGAUCUUCUGGAACUGAUAUAAUGAGUCUUGCAACAUGAUCACAGCAGAGAGUGAUCGAUGUCUUCAUUUAUUUAAUUUUAAUAAAUAAAUAGGUUUGAAGUUGUCACCAACCAUAUUAAGAUAUGAUUGGUCACACGAAAAAAAAAAAGAUUGUCUACAUAAAUUCAUGAGAUUUAAGUUCGGGAGUAGAUUGUAUGUAGAGAAGGUGUUAGCACCUUACGACAGCCAUAAAAUGGUUACCCAAUUUUAUCUCUUAAACUAAAUCAAAGAGGUUCAUAAAAUAAAGUUUUUUAUUUAGGUUUUUUUAAAAAUGUCCUAUGAUUAUCGAUUCAUAUCGAAAAAAAUAAAACUUAAGCAUAAAUUCAUAAUUAUGGGUGACAUAAAAAUCAUUAGAAAAAUAAAGUUUAUUUUUUUGUUUCAAAAGAUAUUUUUUUUAUUUAUUCAUAUCAAGAAUAUUAAAAUACCAAAUAUUGAUAUUCUAGUCUUCGUCAUAUGUGUUUAAUGAGAAAUUUCAUGUAUCUAAAAAUUAAUAAAUUCAUAGAAAAUACUAUUAGGUCCCGUUUAAAAAUAUGAAAUUGUUUAUAAUUUUAAAGACAAUUUAGUAAUUAAAUUUCAAAUGAAGAAAUUUGAUGUAUUUAUAGAAUUUAAAUUAUAAAAUUCAUAAAAAAUAACAUUUUCUUCUAUUUAAAUUGAAAAAUAAAUAAUAAUAAUAACACAAUAAGGUGAAAUUUGAGAAAUAUAUGUUGUGAAAUAGUUAUAUAGGUUGUGCAAGAAAAUGUUACAGGCGGGCCACGAAAUAAGUAAAGUAAUAUGGUGAGAUAAAAUAAUAAAAAUUAUAGAGAUAAAUAACGUAAACAAUCAAAUAAAUAAAAUAUGAUGCAAAAUAAAACACAAUGCACAAUAGGGAGGAUGCCAAAUAAAUAAAAGCACAUGAUGCAAAAAAAUUAAUUAAGAUAAUUAAGGCGGGAUGUCAAUAUGUCAAAUAAUUAAUUAACACAACAGUUGUUGCCAAAUAAUUAAUGCAGUCAUGAUGCUAAUUAAUUAAUGUAGAAUGCCUCAAAUGAAUAAGUAACAUAAGAUGUUAAAUGAGUGCCAAAUAAUUAUCGGAUGGGUGCUUGAUGUCAAAAAAUUAACAGUGAUGCCAAAUAAUUAAUAUAGGAUCAUGCAAAUAAUUCAAAUGAAUAAUAAACACAAGAGGCCAAAUGAGUAAUUAACACAAAUACCAAAUGAGUUCAAAUAAUUAAAGCAGAAUGUCAAACAAUUAAAGCAACAUGCUAAUGAGUACCAAAUAAUUCCGUAAAUGAUGAAGAAUGGAUUUUAAAAGAAAACACACACAAUAGAAUUUCAAAGAAAACACACACAAUAGAAUUUUCAAACAGUAGUAAUUAAAUUGACCUAAAUAUAAAAAGAAAAAAAUUCACAUAGCAAAUUGGCUUAAAUCUAAUAAAAACCUUUAAUCGAAUUUCGAGAUAUUAUUAUUAUUAUUAUUGCAACUACAGUAAAAAAACCUUUAAUCGAAUUUCGAGUUACAUCCGAAAAAAUCAAUUUAUUGAGAAUAUUAAAUGAAAAUUAUUUUAAACGAAAAAAUUUCAAAAAAUAUUUACAAAUAUAAUAAAACAUUACAACUUAGGUGUGAUAGACUAUAAUAAACUAUUAUAUAUAUCUAGUCUUACAUAAUUUAUCGUAAAUUGAUUGUAAUAUUUUGUUAUAUCUUAUAAAUACGUGGAUUGAUUUUAUUAUAUUUGAAAAUAAGUAGUAUGAAAAGUUAUGAUAAUGGUUAAAAAUGGUCUCAUAAAUUUGGAAUUAAUAGUUGAGAAAGCAAUUAUAAGAGUAUUGUUAGAAUAGAGCAUGAAAGAAAUUUUCAAACUAAAGAUAAAUUAGUGAGCACACAUUUUCUAAAACGCAAGACCGCCCACACAUUUUUUUCUUUACUUUAUUAAUUAGUAUUUUAUUUAAAAAAGAUAGCAAUUUAUUGGAGGAAAGGCAAAGUAUAUAUAUAUGAUGUUUUUCUUUUCUUAUUGUUUUUUGAGUACUUGAGUAAACUAUUAUAUACUUUAUACACUAUAUCAAUACAUCACAUGGAACAUAGUUCUUGACCCAUUGAUUAUUUUAUUUUAAACACCUCAAGUCACACAACUCAUUUUUUAUGAAUUAAAAUGGUCUUUCAAAACUCUUUUUUUUCUAAAAUAGAAAGGUAAGGUAUAUAUAUGAUUGCAUUUGUUUAUGAAUAUUUAAUUGUAUUUGGACUGAGAUUUGAAAUAUAAAUGUUGAUAAAAAUAUAGAGGUCUAAUUUUAUAUUAAUAUAGAUGAAAAUUUGAUAGAAUUUGAUGAAAAUUGAUUGAAAGUGUUAUAAUUAAAAUAAUAAAAAUUUGAUAUUAUGGUUUUAAUUAAACACUGCAAUAGACCAUUUUUAAACAAUAAUUUUUAUUAAGUAAAACAAGGUUGUACACAUUUGUGUAAAUGUUGAUGCAAGAGUAAAAAAUUUAGAAAAGAAAUAGAAAAAUAAUUACACAGUAUACAAAAGUGUGAGAAUACUUAGAGGUGACAUAAUGGGAAAUUAAACUCAUUGGAUGGUAAAAAAUUUCACAUCAAUUAGUUUGGAAGUGAAAUUAUGAGAAAAUCUAAUGGUAAAAAUUUGAGUAAGAGUAAAAUUUAAUAUAGGUUUUUUUUGUAUUUUUUUCUUUCAAUUUCAUCUACUUUAUCGAUGGAAGUUUUGAGUCGAACAAUUGAAAUUAAACAAAAAAUGAUGUUGUUGAAAAUGAUAAUUACACUCGUUAUUAAACAACAAAUUAAAAUUAAACAACAAAUUCCAUUCUUCAUUGAAAAUGAUGUUGACAUGUCAAACUAUAUAAUUACACUCGUUAUUAAGGGAAUAAAACUCAAAACUUAUGAACUUAGCUAAUGAUUAAUAAAAAAAAUCUUAACAAUUUUGAGGGCUACAUUUCAAUAGAAAUUCCCCACCAAGGUUAGGAGGCCUUCUUCCCUUAUUUUUAACUUUGCCUUUUCAAUUAAUUGUAUAUAAAUAUUUAAUUGUUUUUUUACUUUAAAUAUAAAUUCUUUUACUACCCAACUUUCAAAUUGUUAAAAGAAAUUAUCGUCAACUUUAAAGUUAUUAAAAAAAGUAGUGUGAUAGGUGAUGCGUAAAAAUUAAAAAGCGUACUUAUUAUGUACAAGUAUAGAGAAAAUUAAAACAAUCAUGUUCAUUCCGUCAUUUCAAAAGAUAUGGUUAAAACUAAAUAUAUAAUCAACUUUUUAUACAUCUUAAUUACUAUGUUAAUUUUUGUUGAUACCAAAAUUUGAAUAUGGAAAUACGUCCACUUUUAUGUAACAACAACAAUAGAUUUGUAAUUUGAUCAAGGAUGUGACCUCACCUUGGCCAAGAUCGAACAUGAUGACUUUUGAGCCAAGGCCCAAACUAUGCUUUCUUCUCUAGGCUUAUUUUGGUUCUAUGAUUUUACUUUUUACUCGAAAUCUUGUUGUCUUUUUAGCUUUGUCAUUCUUACUUAAUAUUGAUUAAUUAUAUGUUUUUUGAUCCAAAAUCACCCGGAACACAUGUAAAUGAUGUCACAUAUGUCCUUAAUUCUAGUUUUACAUAAUAGAUAUUGGGUUUAUUUCAAUAUUUAGUUUAGGAAAAAAAUUACCCGUUUAACCAUUUUUCUUUUUGUUGAAAAUUUUCAAAAUUAUAAUAUCAAAAUAAAUAUUUUUAAAGUGUUAGAAUAUAAUUGAAACCAUUCUAAUAAAUUUAAAAAUAUAUAUAUACUACACAUGUUGAUUAUAGCAUAAUAAAUAUGUUAUUUCUAUAAAAUGGCGAUUAAAAAGAAACAAUUUCAUAUUUUGGGUUGGUUAUUUAAGUGGGUAAAGGUUGAGAACAUUAGGUGGAUAAUACUUUACAUUGUGGUCACACCACUUCCAAAGUCAUAUCAAAAUGCCAAUUAAACUACUUUAAUUUAGUCAACAAUUUCUUUAAAAGAUUGUAAGUUUAUUUUUUCUUUUUUUGAAAGAAAAAAUCCACUCUCACCAACGAAUGGUUUAGUCAUAUAUAUGAUCAAAUUCAUUAGUGUGUGUAAGAGCUUCUAUUGCAACAUUUAGUGGGGCAUUACAUGUUGACUUUCAUUAUUCUAUUGAAAGAGAGUAAUAAUUAUAUAUCAAAUAUAUAUUGGAGAGAGCUUACCUAUAUGAUUUAUUAAUUAAUUAAUAUAAUGUUAGACUUUGUUUUCCCCCAAAAAAAAAAAAUUAAGUAGAAAGAAAUUGGGUAAGCAUCAACUUCUAAUAGUAGGUCAUCCAUAUUUUGGUAAUUGCAUGCUCUAAUCACGAUAGAUUAAUAUCUUUCUUAUCAUUUUAGUCAUGACUUCUGACAACCAUAUUUGAUAAACGGUUGUGGUUUCUAACUCUACAAUUGUCACCCGCUCUAAUGAUUACCUUCACUAACUUUGAAGACCAUUAUUUGAUUAACUUUAAAGACCAUUAUUUUAUAUGGUUAGUUUAUAGUAAUUUUAUACUAAUAUAUUAUUAAUAAAAAAAACACUUUCAAAUUUGAAUAUAAAAAUACUUUUGAAAAAGAGUUGUCAAACACAUAGCAAUUUUUAUUUUUAAAUAAAUUUUUAAUCAAAGUGUUUAUAUAAAAAUUACGACUAAAGAAAAAAAAGGUAAGAAAGUGAAUUGUGGUUAGUGAAAGAAAGUUGUCGAACAUAUUUAUCAAAUAGAGGAUUUGGAUGGAUGGACGUUUAUUUUUAUUUAUUUGUUUGCAUAAAUUGGAUUUUUGGUCAUUUGUUGGUCCUCUCAUAUAUAAAUUAUUUUGGACCAUAUAAGGUAGGGUGAAGAAUGUGACAUUCGUUGCAUACAUGACCAUUGAUAAGGAAUUAAAUUUUGAGAUAUUCCAUUUACAAUAAUAAUAUAAAUCAAUUUCCUCAAAUACAAAAGUAAAUAAGUAAUAUAUAUCUAAUAUAAUUAUGUUUCUUCAGUGAAUCCAAUUAUAUAAUUUUGUCCACAUGAACUAGAAACGUUACAUGUUGUGAAAUGAUUAAUUAAAUCAUUAUUAUUUUUAAUUGCUUGAUAUAAAAGUAAACCCUAAACUUCAUUUCCCAAACUCAGAACAAAUGCAAAGAUGUAGCAUCAUGAAUAGAAGAUUUUCAAACAAAAAAAAAUCAUAUAAACUCCAUACAUCAUAUUUCAACUCAACCUCCUAAACAAGUUCGAUAACAAGAAAUAGAAAAAUCUUUAAUUAAAUUGAGGACUCUAUCCAAAUUGUCUAAAAGAAGAUAGUGUAUAAAUUAUUAAUAAAUUGUUAUAUUUGCUAUUCUUUAUUCUAAAAAAAAAAAAGGUUGUAUUUUGAUAAAAACCAGGAAUAUGAAUGGAAUUCAAUACCCAAGAGAGUUUGAUAACAAGAACCAUUUAAAAAGAAAAUCUCCAGACUGCAUUGUGGUUCACUGUAUUGCAAAUGUAGAAUGAAGUGAUGGAUUUUUGCAAAAUAUUAAAAGAAAAAUUGAAUGUCCUACAUAAAAAAUUCAUGAGAUUGAUGAACUUCAAGUAAGGUGGAAACUAAGAACAAGUAGCUUAUAGCUUUGGUUUGAUAUGGUUUCAUUUAGAAACAGAGUAUGAUAACUCUAAUUAAUUUUCUUUCAAGUAUUCGAAAAAAAGAUGUGAAUAACACAAAAUGAAAAUGAAAUAUUUUAUAUUUUUACGUGUGGUAUUUUCUCAGUCUGGGAAUCAUUGGUAGAACAUUAAAAUGAAACAGAAACUUUUAAUUAAGAACUAUGUUAUUACUUAUCUGUCUCAAAAAAUGAGAUUAAAAGAGAAUAAAGAAAAAGAUGAAGAAGACCCAAAAAAGACAAGAAAACCAAUGAGUUAAAAGCUCUAAAUAUGUUUGACAGAUAAAGCCAAAUACAUAUAAGUAAAAAGAAACACAAAAGUAAUGAUUGAAACAAAGAGCAUUGCUAUAUCAAAGUAAAAAUGGUUAAGGUUUAUAUGUCUUUUUGUUGGAAAAAGGAACAAUCAAAUUGCUCUGAAAGGUAAAAAAAAAGAAACAGACAGAAGAAAACAAAAGAAAAGAGUCAAAAGGCAUGAAAGCAUAGCAAAGAAUAGCUUUGGUUUUGGCAAUGCGUGUGAGAUUCAUGGAGGUCAAAUCCAUCAUUCUCAACUUAGAUUCUCUCUAACACAUCGAUUUUUCAUUUUCAAUCUAUUCUCUCACUAUAAUUGGAUUUGAAUCACAUACCUGAUCUUACAUUUUAUUAAUAAAUUAAACCCUCUUUCUCUCUCUCUCUCUCCUUUUCAUCAGGAAUAUAUUCCAAAGUCUCUUAAGACAAAGAGAGUAGGAGGGAAUGUUAUCUCCAACCCAUGUGCCUAUGUGAUAUACCCUAAACCCCUACCCUACUUCUAACCUCAAAAUCAAUCGGAUUCUCACUUUCUUUCUCUUAGUUUGUUUGGUUGUUACGGUCCAAGUGCAAAUAAUUGUCAGAAAAAGAUACAGUCAGGUUCUUGUAAGAUAUUUCAAUCUAGUUGAUUACCCUAAAUAUAACUAUAUUGUAACACCAUACAAUUUCAUGGUUAUCUUAUAUGGUAUCAAACCCUUACCAUAAGUCCUAGAAAAGGAAUUCAACCCAAGAGUGGUAAACUAGAAAAAAAGACUCUUGAUUCUUUUAGAGGGAUGUAUUCAAACGUCCAUGUUAGAAAGAUGAAGUCUAAUCUAAGAGUAAAAUUAGUUUUUUUUUUCUUAUGAUGAAUUAGUUUUGAUUGUAUCAUCUAAUAGCUAGACUCAACAUUAAUCGAAAAAACAUCAUGUUUUUUUGUUAUCAUUACUAAUAAAUCAAGAUUAAACUAAGGAGAGAAAAAUGGAAUAUUUUGUUUCAGAGUAGAAUAAUUAAGAUAAAGAACUUGGUUUGGGGAUGAGGAUUAAUCCAAAGAUAUUUAUGGGUGUUUUUUUUACUACUAAAAGUGGGCAUCUUUAGCUUUGUGUGGUAUGUAGUAAGAGGAAGAGUGAGUGUGUGUUCAAUAAUCAAAUUGGUAUGUAUUUUUUCACUCUAAAAGUCUUUUCAUUUUCACACUCUCUUUACUUUUGAAAAUGUUCUUUCAUAUGCCAUUCCUAUCAAUACAACAUUUUUGUAAUUAUCUUCUUUCCGAAGAUACACCAUUCUUUUAUAACAUACAAAAACUAAAUAAUAAUAAUAAUAAAAGGAAGUCUAAAAUUAAAUUACUUUCUAAACCAAUUUCAUACUUAUCUCUUGAAAAUUCAAAUGGUUUUCAUACAACUCUUUUUUCCUUUUUUUUUCCUCUUUUUCUGUUGAUAUUUUUCCACGUGGUAAAAUAUACCAAAUUUUUACUUUUUAUCAUCAAUUCGUUUCACUUUCAAUAAGGAUCUUAAAUAUAAUCCAACUAAUUUAUUCUUCAUUGUUGUCUUUUUAGAAAAGGACUAAAAUGAAAUAAAACUCCAAAAUACAAAACCAAAAUAAUAUUAUAGCCAUUCAGAUUUUUCCUUACUCAUCAUAUACCAUUACUAUUCAGUGUCAAAACUAAUUUGAGAAUUUGAUGGACAAAGAAGUAAACAUUUCCAUCAUGGUACUGCAUUUUCAAUUUUUUUUUCUUUUUUUUUUUUUUGUUAAUUUUUGAAUUUGACAAGAACAAUUUUCAAGCUCUCCUAACUCAAAGUCAUUACACCUAUCAUUCCCAAAAAUCUCUAGCCAAUCUUGCAAAAGCAUAGAGUUGAUUUACAAAAUACAACAAAUUUGUUUCCUUUUUCAUCUCUUCCUUUCUUUCUUAAAAUCUCAAUUGUUUCUUUAUUUUUCAAAUCUCAACCUGCCAUUUUCUUAAAAGAAAAUUUCAUACUUCUAGCCGCUUACUUCUUUCUCCAUCAAGUUCUGCAUAAUCCCUCCAUCUUCUCCGUCCAAAUUCAAGAUUUUUCUUUUCGUUCUAUGUGUUUCAAAAUCCUAACAAGUUUUAUAGAAGAAAACCUAACUGGCUCAAUCAAAUAUUUCAAUUUGUAGUGCAGAGUAAUAUUUCUUUUCAAUAUGUAAAUUUACUGCAAGAAAAAAAUGAAAGUCAUGGUUAGUGGAGCUUGAGAUAGGAUGAAAGAAAAAUGAAAAUACCAUGGUAAAAUAGAAGAUCGACAGCUAUGGAAGUUGGGAUUGAUUUGGGUGCAAAGGAAGAAAAUUAGACCAAAAACGAAUACUAAAGGUUUGAAGAUUGACAUUCUGGAUAAAAAGAGAGGAGGGGGAGAGACGGAAAGAUGGAAGGGGUGCCACGUUAUAAGUAAAUAAUAUUCUAAUAUAUUUUUAUUUUUUCGUUAGGCAACUAACAAUCUAAUGAACUUUUAAGGACCAUUUAGAACUAUUUCUCAAAUUUUGAGGACUAAAGUGUUUAUUAUAAAACUUCGAAGACCAAAUAGAUAUUAACCUAAAAUUUCAUAGACAGUGCAUUGUCCUACAAAAAGAAGCAACAGUUACACACAAUCCAUUUUUCUUCCUUUAAAAACAGGAAUGAGAGAACAGAAUAACAAAUAAAGCUAUCAAACAAGAUAGAAAUCAUAUUAAGUUUUUAAUAAAAUUAAAUCAUAAACAAAUUGCAAAAAUUUGAAAUGGCCUAUUCACCGAACAUCAGUACUCAUUCGAUACCACGAGGUCCAUUACUUCAAACCUUCCAUUCAUUCAACUAUACUCAAAUUGACGUAUAAAUGAAUUGCUAUAAUCAGUACAGACCAAAUCUAACAAGAUAAAAAGAAACCAAAAAAACCAUAAUGGUGAGACAUGCCAAAGGAAAAAGAAAAUCCCUUUUAGCUCCACCUGGUAUGAUUGAAACUGCAGAUUCGGUUCCAUUCUGUACACCUACUAAAUUGGUAUUCCUUAUCCAUAAAAAAAAAUCUAUAUAUAUUAAACCAAAAACAAACAACCACUACAACAAAAUAACAUCAACGUAUGGCCAGUAGUUAUCACCCAAAAAGUGCAUUGUUUGGAUUAACACCACAAGAGACCGACAAUGUUAUUGUAUUUGUAUUGGUAGCUGACUCAGAAUCAUCUCUCAAGAGAUAAAGAACGUGAGAUGUUGUUCAUAUUUCGGCCAUAUCAUAUCAUCUAAUACAAGGUGGCGUGUGCCUGUGCUGUCCCCUCACUUAUCACUAACAUUUGCAAUUCUUCACCUCAAAGUGGAGGAGACAAAUCCUAUCCUAAGCACAUCCAAAAUUAACCCUUUGGUCUUUAUACUUCCAAAUAUGUUAAGUUUGGACAGUUACGUAUUAAAGUUCAAAUACUAAUCCACCUCCGUGCUCUUCUUCUGCAUUCCAAACUUCAAAUAACAAAUUUGCCCCAACCAUCUUCUGCAUUCCAAACUUCAAAUAACAAAUUUGCCCCAACCACAUGAUUGAAGAGAACGAUAAGAUAUUUACUAUGUGUUAAUUAAUAUUUAAUGAUGGUUACAAAUAUAACAAUCAUAUUUAAAAUUUAAAGUACUUACAAAAUAGCAAAUUUAGAUUCUACCUUCAAAGUUUAUCAAUGAUAGAGAUAUCGCUAGUAUGGUCAAUAAGCCAAAUUGUCGAUUGAAAUUUAUCAACGAUAGAGUCUAUUAUCAAUAAAUUUUAAUAUAUUUGCAAUUCUUUAAAAGUGUUUUUAUGCAUUUAUUACCUUAAUAUUUAGUUUAGUUUUUAGAUUAGUUAGUGUUUAAUUAGAACUAUAGAAUGAAUUGGUUGGUUGUGUUAUUUAUUGUAAGGCUAUAAACAACCAAUUUAGGGAAAACUUUGAAUAUCCAUCUGAAUUAGAACUGGUGUUCCUGGAGAAUGCUCUCUUAAUUUAAAGGAUGAAUUUCUCUUAUUUGACCAAAGGAUCUAAUCUAAUACCUAGACACGAAGCAUCACCGCAAAGAGAAUAAAACUUGAAUCCAAAUCAGUCUAAGAGUUGAAGAUGAAUCUUCAAAAUAAAAGGUUCAAAACUAACAUAAUUUACCGUAGCUAAACAAGAGCAAGAGAUGGAGAUCCCAAUUCCAAGUAAUUGAUAGAAGAUUGGUCAGUACAAGCCAAAACAAUGACUUAAUUUGAUUGGGGUCUCUGUUGAAUGUGGAUUGGUCUUUAGUGCUGGCGCUUUAAAAAUGAAUGAAAGGUAAAGUAUCUCUAUUUUGUUGGUUCUCAAUCUUCUAGAGGCUGAUGCUGUAAAGAAACAGAGUAAUCCAUAAUAGAUAGAGGUGAUUAAAAUGGUAGCUGGACAAUCUAUCUUUGUCAAUUAAAAGAGAGUUUACUGCUUUACGUCUUUUCAAAUUAUCUUUAAACCAAUAAAAGAUAAGCAGAUUUCCACUAUAUCAUUAAAUAGAUCAUGAUAGAUCCUAACCAAUUGAGAGGAGGUUUAACAUGACUUUUGAAAUAGGGAAUUGCCCUGGGCAACUUGAAGCACCUCUCAAAAUCCUUGAAGAUUUAUUAGAUAAUUUGUUGGGUACUUGAGCACUCUAAAGAACUAUCUCCCAAAAGCCAACUAUAGAGGUGAGAGAGUCAAGCCACAUAAGUAGCACAUUGACCAUCCCAUUCUAACUAAUGAGGGACAAAGUUAGAUCAGAGUACCUUGGUUCCUAAUAAUGAGGUUUCUUACAAUACCUUGGUUCCUAACAAUGGUUCCUAAUUAAUGUGGGAGGAAAAUGAUGGUAAAUUAUGGGCCAUUGGAACUAAAAAUGGCAGUAUUGUACUGCUAGUCUUAUGCACUACUAUUGGUAACUUACACAAACAGAGCUAUCUGAGACACAGUCACUAGUUAAGAAAAAAUGAAGGACUUGAUUACUAAUGACAAAAACAGAGAAAUUUGGCCUAACAUUACGCAAAUAUCUGUAUAACCAACUCAAACUCCACAAAUUCAUCUCACUUAUUCUACAUAUUUAGCAUGAAAAUUCCUUAUAACUUAUUUCGACUUCUACAAACAAACCUGUCAAUUGUUUCCAACAGUCUUUCUCAUUCUCCUUUCAUUCGUCAUCAAAACAAACAGUAUGAUUUACGAAAAGUUACUAAUAUUUGUCAAAAUCUCCAGGAGAAUACUGAAUCUUAAUAAAAGAGUGUCAAUAUCUCAUCUGAGAUUUAACCCUUUUGACCAAUCGGGGCACUACGAAUAAUCUCGGGGGAGAUUGUUGGUCUUGGACUGAGAUUAUGUAAACGACCUGGCAAACAACUGUUUUUUCCAACAGCAUGCAUGUUAGAAACCAAACAUAUUUAAUAAAGAGAAGACUUCCCUUGUUUUUGAGAUUUUGUUGAAAAAGAGAAAAACUCCAAAAUGUGAGAGAGGGAACCUUUUAAGACCCAAACUUGUAGAGUCAACCUGGGGAUUUCUAAAACAAUGAUUUGAUAAUAAUAUGAUAAUAUAAUGAAAGAGGGCAUAAUGGUAAAAUUAACCCUUUAUUAACAAAUCUAGACACGUCACACAUGGCUCACGUUCUUAACUCGAUUUUGGUCGACAUGCCCCAUGAAAAACUCUUUUAACGAGUUCUGAAAAAACAUGCUAUUUCUAAAAUAUGGAAACUCCAAGGAAUUAUUUUUUACAGUUUUCCUUUUAUUUUCUACCUAUCUUCCUCUGGAAAUAACUGAAAUAAGUUUUAUUUGACAUGACUAAUUUUAACUCUAAUGUCAUUCUCUAAAAAGGGAAGUUUUCUCUUCUAUUGGUAAAAUGGGGACGUUCUGUAAGACCCCCAAUUAUCCAUACUUAUAGGAGGAAGGGUAGAAAAGUAACUGCACAGGGAAUUAUUAUGGAGAAAUGAUUGGAAGGACGUUCUGAGUGGUAGGGCCCACUGGGCUGAGGAAUAUGUGAGUCUAUAAAUAGGAUUAUUAGGUUGGAGUAGCUAGGGUAUUUUUAACUUUUAGGAGGUAGGGCUACAGCAGCCACCAGGGUCUCUUAAAACCAAGAGGCUGGUAUGAUCUUUUCUGCAUUUUUCCUUGUUGUUUCUUGUUAUUUCUUUUCAUCUUGUGAAUCUGGAUCAUUUGGCUUUAUAUAUAAAUAAAGUAAACCAGAGUACCGCCUCUGUUUAAGCCAUUUAUACAGUCCUUUCAGUCUAAAUUAUUGUUAGUAUCCUAACACGUUCAUACCACAAGUUUUUAAAGGAAAGCAGAAAAGAAAAAAUCUAUAAGGUUACAAAUAUGCAAGAAGAUUGAAAUAGCCGCCCACCUAUCCAGAAGUCAACUUCUUGUCAAGAGCUAAUGACAAAAACUAUUUUGCAAUAUGCAAAUUUCUUAUCUAACAAUAGCACUAUUAUGAUUGUAGAACUAGUGCCAGUUUGUGACAGAACCUAAAAUCCACUAAGAUAUAUUCGAGUGGCUUAAAAAGAGAUGCACAAGACCCCACUAUGCAAAAUACACAUACGUAGAAGAUGUGGAAACCAGAAAACUGAAGGGAUUAAUUAUGGUGGUUGACUCUGCUUACAAAAUUAAACAAAGGCAUUAUGACUUGAUGUUAUUGGCCCAAUUAAGAAGAAACAACAAUUCUAAAGCCAGUUGAAUAUAUCUCUUCGGCCAAGUAGACAAGAAAAAGAAAGCAUCAACAUCAAAUGAACCAAGGGCCUAAAGUAAACUAACAAAAUGGACUGUCGCUUUAGCCUUAUCAAUAAAGAAAAAGCAACUGAAUAAAUUUUAACAGAGCAAGACCAUCCUACAGAGUAGGAAAUUGUUUAAGAAUAAUGGUACCUGAGCAACGAUUAUGUCCAGUCAAAGCAAUUCCAUCCCUGUGGAUAAUGAUAUCUCCAACUUUAUCAGAUUAAGCAUGUAAAAGUUCCUAUAUGUGUAUUUGACAUGAAGUGCAUGAGAUAUGUGGGCCAUUAGUAUUAUCCAUAUAAGUCAAUCAAUAGAUGCAAGGUCGUUAAAUGAAUAAAGUUAUAAAGGGAUUUGCUAGCUACAAAAUAGGACUUUGCCACCAAUCCACUACUUGGCACUCAAUUACAAAGAUUGACUAUAAGAAAACGGGAUUCUAACUUUAAAGAUAUUAAUCACAAGCUCUGCACUAGUAUAACUAAUCAGAUAUACUUGUGAGUUGUCACCGAGGCAAGUAGAAAUUGCAUACUUUGCAUGAAGUUUGUUAGUGUUUCAUGGUUGAUUUGCAUUUGUAUAAUCCUCCUUAAUGCUAAAAUGAUAUUGUUUCUUCUGUUUUUUUGCCUCCACUUGCGCCUGAUAAAAAGGGUAAGUUUUGAUUAUAAUGAAAGAUACAAAAAUCUACAAGGAAUGUGUUCCCAUUGAUAGUGAAGUGAUCGUAGAAGAAAAAAUAAAUAUACAUAUACAUAUAUAGAUAGAAAUGAAAAAAUAAAUAUACAUAUACAUAUAUAGAUAGAAACAUAGAUAUAUUUUGGUGUCCUAAAUAUAUUCCACAGGCACGCUUAAAUUCUUCGGAAUAAUUCUUCGAUUUCUUCUAAUCACAUAUGAAAGUGAGCUAAUAAUAGCAUUGCACCAAAUAACAUUGGUUUUUCCUUUAAAAUGAAACCUAUAAAGAGGAUUUCAAGGCCUUAUUGUGCGUUUGAAGAGCUUGAAGUUACCUAGCGUGAAAAAGAGUUUCCAACAAAUUCACAAAGUGAAAAGGAAUUCUAGAAUCAAGGGAUUACAAUUGUUGCUACUUUGACACAGGAGUAAAUUUCAGUGGAACAGAGACAUAAGUUGUCUAAACCCUUUGUAAUCGAAUAUCAAAAAAGCAGUAUAAGAUGGCAUAAUUGUCUAAACCCAUACUUUGCAACCAAUGAGCCAACCAGAAGAUAAGAUGGCAUAAUUGUUGGUCUUAUCUACAUACAUAUAAUAGUAAAGGCAAUUCUAACAAAGCUAAAAGAACCUACAGAAGCAACACAAAUGUUAAAGAAUAACGAUACCUCUGGGUUUGAUUUUUCAGUGCUUACAAUCAGAAAAAGUUAUUCCCAUCCCUGUUGAAAAUGCUAUCUCCAGUUUAUCUGGCUAAGCACAUUUAAGUACCUAUACAAGUAUUUAGAGUAUAGGUACAUUUGUACCUAUACAACUAUUUACCAUAAAGUGCUUGAGAUAUGUGCGUCAAUGGCCGCCAGUAUUAUCUCCGUAAAGCAAUCAAAGGAUGCCAACUCGCUAAACAAUUAAAAAUAAUGUCAACAAUUUGUGAAUCCAUUACAUAGCAUUCAAAAAAGAAAUCCUUUUUUCUGAUUUUCUUUUUCCUUUUUGCGAGAGAAACACCUAUGAUGUCAUUGAAGGGAUGGAAUUAAAAAAAGAAGGCUGAUUGCAUUCCAUCAAAAUUACAAUAAAAUAAGUAAGUUUCCAAUGAGAUGCGAGAUAGGAAAUAGCAACAUCUUAAGAUAGUAAUUUUUAGACCAACUCACUAAAAAAAAGCAGGAAAAAACCAGAUAUUCAAGAUAACAAUUAAAUGAUCUUUCCUUGUCACACAAAGGAUGUCCAGCAGAGCAAACGAUAAGAUUUCACCAAAGAUUUUCCUUUUGAAAGGAUGCCCAGCAGAACGAUUGAUAAGAGAGCAUUCAAAUUGUACAAUUCUACAGCAUAUACAAAUGGAUUUACAUUUGAAGAAAUCAAUCAUAAAGUUCGCACCCCUUGAAAAAGAAAACCAUAAGGAAGCACUAGUGAUAAUUGGUGAUAAUUGAUGAUACUUGUGAGCUAUGACAAAGAGCUGCUUAAAGUACCAAUUGCAUAAACAUUGCAGAUAACCUGCUUGGGUAAAACAACCAACAGAAAAGAAUGAACGGAUGGGAUGCCACCAUCAUCAAACAAGGGCAACUUGAAAGGAUAGCUGAAGUGCUAUGUAAUAAUACUUUUGUUGCUACGCAACACAGUGUUUCCUAAAUUGAAGACACCAAUAAAAGAAAAGCAAUAUCAGACUAAUUUAGCCCUUAUUCACAAGAGAUUUUCCUUCCACCUUUCCUUUCAAUCUCUACCUUUCCCCUUUUCAUCUUUUUUAUCCUUUCUAGUUCCUCUCGGAUAAAAAAGUGAACCUUUUGCUAAGUAGAAUGAAAUGUUGAAAACUUCCGAGAAAUUUACAAAGAGGCAGUCUGUUGAAAGAAUCAAAAGGACUAAAUUCUAGUUAUAAACUAAAGAGACUAACCUCAGUCUUUUUAAAACCACAUGUACCAAAUUUGUAACUUAACCCAAAAAAAUGAAAGAAUAUUUAUAAUACAUUACAUAAUAAAUAUUAUAUUAAAAAUGAAUUGAGUUUAUAACAUGAAAUAUUAUAUUUCUAUAUGCUUUAUAUAUAUUUAAUAUAAUUCUGCUUUUAAAUGUAAAAUUCAAAUUCUUGAUACAACGAAAACAUAAAAAAGUUGUUUUCAGAAUUUGCAUAAUUUGGGUUAUAGAAUCUAAAAACAGAUUUCAGAAACACACCCUUAAUAUAUUUUUUCUUUUUUUUCCUUAAAGUAGUCACUUUCUUUGAGAAAAAACAUGAAAGAAGAAGGGAACCCCGCUCAAGAAAGGGGUCCAAUUAAGCAAAAUAGUGCUAUAGAAUAAUUACAAAAGAACUUUAAGAUUGAAACUAAAAAAGAAAGAUGAAACCUAAUAAAGACCCAAAUAUCACUAGGCUCAUUUCCCAUCCUCUAUAGACUCUAUUGCUCCUUUCUCCCUAAAGAUUCCACAAGAUAAAACACACCUAUACCAACCACAAGAAACAAUAUUUCUCAUGGAAAUGCAUCUAGAGGAAGAACUUCUCAAUCAUAACACUAAUGUCCCUUUGACAAACAAGCAAAAAACAAAACGUCUGGAAGAACAAAUUUCAAACAGUGCGUGCAAAUUCGCACCUCCAAAGUAUGUGAUCCAGGACUACCUCCACCUUCUAACAAAGAAUGCAACAAAAUAGGCCCAAUAAUUAAUGACGAUAACCUCCUCGAUAGUUUAUCCAAAGUGUUCACACAUCCAUGUAGAACUUGCUAAGUAAUGAAUGUCACUUUCUCAUAAAUCUUAAUUCUCUAAAGGAUUGAAUAAACACCCGCUAGAAGGAGAAAGAUCCAGCAGAAAACAAAAAAAAAUGAAUCUUAAUCCUCUAGAAGGUCGGAAUUUUAGACAUGCAAAUCCUUUCUCCAACGCCUAAAGUUAAACUCCCCAAAAACGAUAUCAAAGAGAUGACAUUUUCACCUUUCCUACCAAUCAAAGAGGCAAAGAGCAACCAAAACCUAAAGGAUAAGGGUAGGAAAAUCGAGCUCCCUGACCAAAUCAAAAUAAAUGGUUUUAAAAGAAUGAGAAAAGAGGUUUAUCCCCCAACCACUAGUCUUUCCAAAAAUAUGUCUCUUUACCCUCCCCUACCACCCAAUGGACAAAAUGGGAGAAAGAGGGGAGCUCGUUAGAAAUAUCCUUCCACAAGCCCUAGUGGGUGCCUUUAACCCCACCUAAUAACAACUGAAAGGGAUGAGGCUCAUACUUGCUAGCAAUAACCUUGUGUUGAAGGACAUCAGAAUCGAGAGGAAAACGCCGAAGUCAUUUACCUAAUAGGUUUUGUCGUGAAUCCUUAAGUUGCCAAUUUCUAACCCCUUGGAUCACCAAGCUCCCAACUAUAUCUCACCUAACCAAGUGUGAACCAUAUCUUCCUUUCACCACCCCUUCCCAAAGGGAGUUCCACACAAAUUUUUCUAUGUCGUUACAAAUCUUACUAGGGUUCUAAACAAAGUAAAGACGUAAUGAGGACACUACUCAAAAUUCGUCUCCCGACUUUAGAAAGGUUACUUUUGUCCAGGAGACCAGACUUGUCCUCAGUUUUUCAACCACGUGAUGGAGAUAUUAAUGUUAAAUUUAAAUGUCUGUCCCAUCUCCUCCACUUCAUGAAUGCUGACCCUGCCACAUAGUGUGGGUGAUCUUUCGAAAUUUAAAGAAGACACCAGUAAAUUGAAUAAAUUAGUCGAAAGAGACAAUUAAAGGGUCGAUGUCAUCAUUUGAGAUUUCGUUCCAAAUUGGUCAUUUGAAGAAGGUUAAUUCUAUAAAAAAAAACCUGUUAGAGCUGUGAGCAACCAAUGCACCUCAAGAAAAACGCUCCAAUCUGAAAAGCCUUCUUGCUCAUGUGACAGUGUUGACUUACUUUGAGAAAGGCUGUCCAAGACAUGCUGAUAAUUUCCAAAAUGCCAUGACACAAGGAUGUGUUACUGUUACCAACCCCCGAAUAUGCAAAUAGAAAUGAGCACUGGUGGGUCAUAAAUAGACAUUACAGUAUUUGAUGAACAUUUGGGUGGUUGAAGGUACAACACAAGCAAAAGAUACAAGCUAAACCAUAAUUUUCAGCAAGCUUGUUCUACAUGUGCCAAGUGAAACAGUAGAAGACUGUUAAGUUAAGUGUAGGUGCAUGGUAGUCUGUGAGAUGCUUCUUUAUACAAAGAUUCUGGGCAGUUGAGUGGUAUAUUGCACAAUCACUUAAAAAUGACUUCUUUCGUGAGGCCAGUCUAGAUUAAUGUGAUAAAGGCUUUUAAUAAAUAAAUAUUCAUCCAUGCAUGACGAGAUGAAACAUUUACAAAGGACACAUUAAAAAAUUUUGGAAAGAGAAGAUUUAUGAAGCCUGUAUCUUAGUUAAAGAUAAUUGCAGUUGUGAUCUGUGAUGGUGCCAAAGUAGAAUUAAAAGAAAAGAAUACUGACAUAUGAUUAAUAACUUACAGAUUACAUAAAGGUCAGCUUUUCUUUGUUUUUAUGUUUUUAACUUCCUUCGGCUUGGGUUUUUUUUUUUCUUUUCUUUUUUUUGUAUUAUCCUUAUUCAUUUGUUUGCAAUGAAAGUUGUUUUCUUUGUACAAAUUGUAGACAAUGGGAGCAUAAAUAAAUACGGUUUAGAGAGAAUAAAUUGCAAACAAUGGGAGCAUAAAAACUGCUGAAUUCUAAAGAUUAACUUUAGUUUUUUCUUAUCAGUAAGUUGGUUCCAUUCCAUUGUCAGAUAUAGGCCUAAUAGAGAAUCAUCUAGCCGUUGCGGCAAUUUUACAUGUAGAAUUUCUCAUAUACCGUUUUAAACAAUCGGUGGUUUCUCUUGUUAAACAUGAUUUCCACAAAAUUUUGUAUUUCAUGCCCGUUCAUCGUUUAAGCAUUCUACCAUUAUAAAAUCUCCCCCACAUUUUUAUACUUUUAUAAAAGGAGAGUCAAACUAAUAGUAUCUUCCUACAUUAGUAAAGCAGCGAGAAAUUGUAGAGCAAAUUGAUAUAACUAAAAGUUUUGAUAAGUUAAUGCAUUAUACAAAGACAUAUACAGGGGAUAUGCAAUAAAGUAUUUCUGACUCAUCUCAAAAACUACACAUGUACAUAAGAUAUGCUGAAGUGAGAGUGUAUAACAAACAUACUUAGAAAGGCAUCCACCUCAGCCAGCUAACCAGAUAUCAGCCAAAAAACACCAUCUGGGUGGCCAUUCCAGUUCAGCUCCAGCAAUUCUACUAAGCCAAAUUGAAAUCUUCAUCUUCAGCCAAUAUGAUUGGAAUACUAAAUUGACUCCACUAGAGAUUUAACUUGGGUCAGAUCAUUCAGGUUGACUGACUUUUCAUUGAUUGGAAUCUGUAACUCCCAUCUUGCUCCAAACUCAUAUCAUAAACUUCAGAAUGUGAACCCCUGGAUCGCCUGAAAUCCUUGCCACUUCCAUACUGUGUAUUUCCAUUGUGCGCCUGAGGACCAGGGACUCUUUGUCUUCUAUCCAAUCCAUUUUUUCCCGGUUUCAACUCUCUCUUAGAAGACUUCAGGUUUCUUUCAGUUCGUCCAUUCCUGGUUCUUCUUUCCUCGUAUAUAUUUCCUUUUGUACCAUUACUAAUUGAUGGUGCCGAGGAAUGCCGAGGAUAAGAACCCUCUGUAUCCGAGUAAUUUGUGUUAUCUUCCCCUUUAUCCACAGAAAAACUUCUCAAUGUCCGGUUAGAAGACCUCCGGUGAGUCCUAAAAUUAUCUUCUUGAAAAGUAGUUGGAAUUUCAUUGCCAGCUUCCGAAUCCAAACUCAACGAACUCUCCGACCCUGUAAUACUUCUAUAUGGCCUUACACUGUGAACCACCCCUUUCGGGAAAAACCUUGCAGAAGGUAGUUCGUCAACCGUCUCAAACAAUUGAGGCCCAUCUCUUUCCGUCCACAAAUCGAACCCACCAGGCCUUUGAAACCUAUCUGCCAAAACCUUCACCUGUUCAUCGGCGCCAACAGAGAACAAAUUGGGAGCCUUCUCCACAACCUCCCACGGCCUCUCCAGCUGGGAUACAGCCGCCUUAAGCUCAGCCCGCUUACGCAUCUCGUAUAUCUGGCGUUCACGGCACAGCCGGGCCUUAAGCAGCUGCUUACCUUUCUUGGCCUGCAUCCGCUUCCAUUGCCACUUCGACACUCCACCGGGAUAAGUUCUAGGACCUCCGCCCAUACGAAUAAGUGGUGUGGUCUUUGUGAGGAUCGGCAUCCGAUUGGGAAGGUAUGAGAGGUGGUUUGAACCAGUUAGAGACUGAGAGAAGGAGAAUAAGGGCGGACGAGAAGGGAUUGAAAUUGCGAGAGAAAUUGGGAGAAUGGGCAUUUCUUCGUUGAUACUUUGAAGGUGAAGAAAUCAAAGUGGCGAUAGAAAGCCCUAAUGGCAGAGUGAUGAAAGUAGCAAAACUAUGGAACAGAUGGAGGAGGUUGGCCUUGGCGCCGAGAUAUUCACGGUUGCAGUGAUGACGGAAACAGGUAGCGGAGUAGGAUUUUAUGGGCCGGCGGUACGUCUUCUAUUUUAUGGGCCAGAGUACUGAAAAGCCCACAAUACAAAUUGCUCAAUGGGCAUGUACUAUUUCAGAAGGAAUUGGUUGCUAAAUUUUUAAAUUAAUUAAAAUAUUUAGGAGCUUAAAUAAAAUUUUGGAUUCUAUCAAUCAAAACUAUUAAUGAUUGAAAUAUAUCAAUGACCAUCCGUUUAUUAUUAAUAGAAUUUUAAAUUUUAAAUAAAUAUUUUUAUCAAAGUUAUUAUUUUUUUAUCAUUUUUGCCUUUAAAAACUAGCACACUCUUCUAAUUUAAAAGUUCUUUAAAUUUCAAAUCAUAAAUUGCAAACUUUCCUAAAUCAAAAUUUGGUCUCAAGGCUGCUACAAUUUGUAACAAUAAUUUCCUUAUAUUUGAGAGUGUUUUUACAUGAGAAUAAUGCAAACACAUUAUAGAAAAUUAAAAUUAAGAUAUCAUUAAAAUUUGAAACCACUUCAUUUAGGUUUUUAUAAUUAUUUUACCUACUUUUAAAUCACACUCAAUUUAAGAUAUUUGGUGCAUCAUCUUAUUGUCUUAAGAAUUUCGCAAUGAAGUCACUACCAAAUGUUCAGUCACAAAUUAUCACAUACAAAUUUAAAAAAAAAUUAUACAAAUUGAUAAAUAUAUAGAUGUAAGGUGAGUAAUGGUAAGAUUAUUAAUGGUAAGAUUAUUCAAAUCUACUGUGAACGUUGCAUUUCACAUAAUUAAAGUUGAAAGUCUCUCUAGGUGUCUUUGUGUCUAAAGGGGCAUACGUGGCUUUUUUAUUUUCUAAGAAGUGUCUGGAAUAAGGGGGAGUUCGAGCAAAUUUCAUUAUGCUCACAUAUCAAUUGUUCUCAAAGUUCAACAUUCGAAGAGUAUACAUGACAACGUGAUCAUUUGGUAUCUCAAUGACAAUAAAGUAUUCUCUAUUAAAAGUGCUUAAUUUUUGGGGUCUAAAACUUGCUAAUUUAAAUAUAGCUAAAUCGUUAGAGAGGAUCACUUCCAAGUUCUUGUGGUAUUCUCUCUUAAAGUCGAAUAACUCUCGUAAGGUUAAGAUUUGUUGCCGACAAAAAAAGGUGUACAUAUUGAUAUGUUGUUAAUGGGGGAAAAUCUUGCACUUUGGAUAGUAGGAAAAAAAGGAAGAAGAAGAAGGGAAAUAAAAAUAAGAUAACAUAAUAAAAAUCGAAAACACAAAAAUUGAAAUUGAAAAUUUUCAACUUAUAGAAAAAUCACCGACAGAAAAUUCCACUAUGUGAAAAAUUGCUACAAUCACAAAGAAUAAUUAUCUCUCCUGAUUCUAAUUACAAACACACUUUUUAGAACUUUUGGCCAUUGACAUAUUCUUUUCACUCGUCAACUAGAGAAUACAAAACAAAGCUUAAAGUGCUGCUAACUGAGACACUUGAAAACUAAACACAUGGUUUUAUAUAGCUCAUGACUUUUCUAAAGAUUUUGCAUGAAUUCAUAACUUUCCUAAACUCAUUCAAUGUAGGACGACAAGCUCAUGACUUUCAUAAAUCCUUUCUCUUUUUUUUUUUCUAUUUUGGACAACUACAUUUUUUAUUUUUUUCGAAAAACCCAACUAUUGUGUGUCUUUCGCAGGAAACAUGUGGAAACUGCAAGUUAUCAUAUAUAGAAUUAUUCGAACUCUAAAGAUAUUUGGACUAGAAUUUUAGUGUUUAAUAUUAAUGUUUUAUGGAAUGACAACGCGAUCUCUAAAGUUACCAAGACUGCUAGUAUUGGAUCUUCAAACAUGUGGCUAUAUUUCUCAAAACAUGUUAUCUCGUGAUAUGUUAUUGUAGUUGUUUGGUUUUGUGGUUUUUCUUUUUCCUAAAAAAAACUAAAAUAGUUUUGGAUACUAAACUUUUAUGAAAAUAAUAAUUUAAUUCAUCAACUUUAGUUUGUAAUUUAAUUCAUAUACUUUUAAUUUUGUAACUAUUUUUAGUCCCUAAACUUUAAUAUGUAAUAACUUAGUCCUUAUAUACUUUUAAAUUUGUAAUCUUAAUCGUUAGCGGAAAGAAACAACCAAAUUAUAUUUGAUUUUUUAUUAUUUUAUAAUGUAGAUUUUAUAUUUUCUAUAAAUAUUGAGCAUCUAAUUAAUUUAUCAUUUUAUUUAUUAAAUGGUUGCCACUAAUUUCUAGUGAACCAACGAAUUGUUUCAAAUUUUAAAGUUGGAUACAAAUUCAAAGUAGAAAACUACAGUGUCACAUGCCAUAACUUUUUUUAUUAAUGUACAAAACCAAAAACAUUUGUUGACUUAUUUAUGUCACUGUUUAUACCUUUCCAAUAAAAAGUAAUUAAAAAUAAAAAUCUUUAGAAAACAAAAUUUGAACUAAAUCCAAUAUUUUAUAAUAAUCGGGGUUGUCCCCUUUCUUAGAUUUGAUGGAUAUCUGCACUGCUACAGCUCACAAUAUCAACCCCAUGAAUAUUGAUAUACAAUUGCUUUGGCUAAAAUCAAAAUGUGAUGUCAUAGAAAGAGAGAGAGAAAUGGAAAAAAAAUAAGAAAAAGGCGAACAUGUUGCUUCCAAUAUAAUGGACAAUGUAUGAGCAAUGAGGUUCGUUAAUUAUAGAAUAAGGAAGCUUUGUUUUUUUAAAUAAUUAUGAACAACAGCAAUAUGUUUUCAAUUUCCACAACAUCGUCUGAUGUGCAGCCUGUAGAUUCCAAGACACCUUUUCUUUUUCAUCUUCAAAGUUGCAAUUCAAAUUCAUCACGUCAUGUGGAGAAAGGAAGUGAUGGGGGUUUUAAGCACUAUCAAAUACAAGAAGAGCUUAAAAGAGAUAUAUAGAAAAUAGAGUGGAAUAAGUUCACAAAUAUGAUGAUGAGGAGUGAGAUUGCUCAACCGUUCAACCGUGGACAAAAGGAGAAUGAGAUGAAUCCUAACUAUUGCGCAAAUUUGUCUAUGAGUGAAAUAACUUCAAGGGCAACCAACUCUACAAACAAGGGAAGAAGACGUGAGAGACCAAAUACUUGGAUAUAAGUCUAUGCUCCUCUCGACUUCGGUCUCCGCAACAUUUUAAGUUUGUCUUGAUUUGAGAGAAUAAAAAAUCUAAGAUAGUCGUGUUCUUUAAAAGGAUUGAUAUAAAUUCAACUUUAGAGUGUUUAGAGAGAUAGACGACAAUUGUAUGACUUGCCCACACUUUCUGAUUGUGGGUAUAUAAUGAUUGAAAUACAUACUUUUCUAAAUUUUUCAAGGCCAUGGAAUAUUAGUAUUUUAUAUCUACACAAUAGAUCAUGUAUUUUAUGCUCUAAAAUUGACAUCUUUCCUAAGAUCCUAAAUUGGAUAGAUAUACAAAAACUCAUUAAGCAAAUAAUCGUCUAGUCAAAUCUAACGAUCCAAAAGGCUCUAAACAUCUCUAAAGACACAUUAUAGAGGGAGCAAAGUUUAACUAAAUAUUUCUACUAAAUGUAAUUUCUUGUUGCAUGUGUCCAAGUGGUUAGAACAUAUUUGGAGGUUUUUAAUUUUCCGUAUAUUUUCAAUAUCUAAUUUUUAGUUCUUAUUAUUAGUUUCUUUUUGUUAAAAAAAUAAAAUAAAAACAUUUAUUUUAUCAAAUAUUCCAAAGUUUUGAAAAUAUAUUCAAUUACUAUAUUUUCUUACCUAAACAUUUGUUAUAAACCAAUUUCAAAGAGAAACUUGGAAAAAUUAAAUUUAAAAUUUAUUGAACACCGACCAAAAUAACAUUUUAAACCUGAUUUUAACUAUAAUCUUCUCUUUAAAAACGUCCCUCAAAUAAAAAUAAAUGGCAUUAGCUUUUAGAUAUGGACUAAUUUAGUUUAUUUUUUAAAAAAAUAUCAACACAUAUUUUUUUAUUUUAUCCAAAAAUAAAUGCUUGAUGCCACUAACAAAAAAUCAAAGAAAUAGCAAAAAUAAAAAAUAAAAAUAGAAAAAAAGAGAGAAAAAACUUCGAAGUUGGAACUAAUAGUUGGGAUACGAAAUUAAUCUCCACAAACCAAUAACUUUUAACACUAAUUAAUUUAAGCUAAUCAAACAAGUCCACAGUGAGAGAUCAUACAAUAAUCGAAUUAAAAUUAAAACUACUUGUUUGUUGUUUCAUUUCAAUAAUAAUAUAAAACUUAAUAAUAGUAUUAUUAUAUUAUCAUCACCUUCAUUCACAGCUUUACAUAUAAACACCUAAAUCGAUACUGUUCCCUCACUUCCAAUCUCAAUUAUAUAUCUAUUAUUUCCAACAUCACACCACACGUGUAACCCCCCGAAUUUCCUUGCAUUUCCUCCCACACUCUCAAUUAAUUUUAUUAAUUAAGAAUCCACCCCCUGCUUCCCUUCUCCCACGAACUUUCCUUAAUCCUUCUCCUAGCUUCCUUGGAUCCACAAACCCCUAUUUAUUUCCACUCCCUAAUUAAACUCCUCAAAUCUCACCUCCACGAAUAUGCUUCCUCCAUUUCUAUUCCUUCUCUUCAUCUUCGCCAAUGCUCUUUUCAGUUCACUCGCCGCCGCUGCCGCUCCACCACCUACCUCCGCCGAAUCGCCUUCUGUAAGAAAGCUUGGGAAGCACCAGAGUACGGCGAUUGCCUUUUCGAGUCCGACUGAAGCGCCGCGAAGCGUAAUGAAAGUCCAGGGGACCUCGGGGGCGAGCGGUGGAGAGAGUGGGAAUGCGGUUGAAUUGGGGAAUCAUGACCAUCACAAGUCGAGAGAUAAGUCUAUCGCCGGCGGAGGUGUGAUUUUGGGCGGACUCGCUACGACUUUUUUGGUGGCGGUUAUAUGUUACAUAAGAGCUACGAGACGACAGAAAAGUGAACUUGGCUCUUGAGACGACAUGUCGUCCGCCUUGGUUUGUUUGUUGUGUAAUUGUAUUUUUUUUAAAAGGAGGAUGUAAUUGUAAUUAACCAUAAGUAUAAAAAUCAAAGGCCACAAUACAUUUUGUUUUGUCUUUUUUGGGUUUUUAGAAAAUAAUAAUAACAAUCAAACUGUUCAAACCUCAUAAAUAUUUUGUAAUAUUUCAAUUUUUGACAAAUUUCCUUUUUUUAUACAAAUAAUAUUCUUGUUAUUAUUUGUUUUACUCAGUUAUCUUUAUUUCAGGUGGGAUUUAAAAGAUAAUUUACAAGAAAAAUUAGAGCUAGUAAGCACACUUUCCAAAAUAAACUAAAAGAAUAGACAAUGAUAAAAAUAUUUUUAUGGAGCGGAUGUAUUUUCAAAGCUAAAAGAAUAGACAUCGAUAAAAGCUAUGACUAAUAGCACAUUUCUCAAUUCAAUUGAUGACAACUAUACCGAUCGAUAGCCUUUUAUUUUCAAAGGCCAAUGAACUUUUAAAAUUUUGCUAGACUUUUUAGUAUCCAUUUGUGUACGUCGUAUGUAAUUAUUUAUUUUUGUGUUUAUA